AGAGAAAAUUGGUGGAUUUCAAGUAAUCAAGCCAUCAAAGGUGGUGAGCAUUCUAGCAAAAGUAAAGAGAUAGUACCCAAGGAUCAAGAAUCAGAGUACUCGAAAUUAGACUCCCGAAAUAGCUCAAGAUAGUCGGUAGAUAGCUCACUUUGUUGAGGG
Molecule: small RNA, 159 nt
Filed under: Theobroma cacao (cacao)
Lineage: Eukaryota; Viridiplantae; Streptophyta; Magnoliopsida; Malvales; Malvaceae
Description: sRNA Tc07v2_g012290
Source: RNAcentral